Molecule: ribosomal RNA, 301 nt
Filed under: uncultured bacterium
Lineage: Bacteria
Description: partial 16S ribosomal RNA
Rfam family: Bacterial small subunit ribosomal RNA
Source: RNAcentral
CAGCCGCCGCGGUAAUACGAAGGGUGCAAGCGUUACUCGGAAUUACUGGGCGUAAAGCGUGCGUAGGUGGUGGUUUAAGUCCGUUGUGAAAGCCCUGGGCUCAACCUGGGAAUUGCAGUGGAUACUGGGUCACUAGAGUGUGGUAGAGGAUAGUGGAAUUUCCGGUGUAGCGGUGAAAUGCGUAGAGAUCGGGAGGAACAUCAGUGGCGAAGGCGGCCAUCUGGGACAACACUGACGCUGAGACACGAAAGCGUGGGGAGCAAACAGGAUUAGAUACCCCCGUAGUCCCUGUCUCUUAUAC